This 511-nucleotide ribosomal RNA is filed under the name Phoma sp. NsE+31. RNAcentral describes it as "eukaryotic LSU rRNA". The stretch from base 137 to 290 matches the Rfam family "5.8S ribosomal RNA". The record is from RNAcentral. Lineage: Eukaryota; Fungi; Ascomycota; Dothideomycetes; Pleosporales; Didymellaceae.
UAAAGACGGAGGAGAGGCGGAGGUAUCAUGAGCGGAGGAAUCUGCGGGGGAGACGAUGAUCCGGAGGAUCUCCCGCCGCUUGGAACGAUUAGGCAUUUGCAGUUGCAAUCAGCGUCUGACAAAACAUAAUAGUUACAACUUUCAACAACGGAUCUCUUGGUUCUGGCAUCGAUGAAGAACGCAGCGAAAUGCGAUAAGUAGUGUGAAUUGCAGAAUUCACUGAAUCAUCGAAUCUUUGAACGCACAUUGCGCCCCUUGGUAUUCCAUGGGGCAUGCCUGUUCGAGCGUCAUUUGUACCUUCAAGCUCUGCUUGGUGUUGGGUGUUUGUCUCGCCUCUGCGCGUAGACUCGCCUCAAAACAAUUGGCAGCCGGCGUAUUGAUUUCGGAGCGCAGUACAUCUCGCGCUUUGCAUUCAGAACGACGACGUCCAAAAGUACAUUUUUACACUCUUGACCUCGGAUCAGGUAGGGAUACCCGCUGAACUUAAGCAUAUCAAUAAGCGGAGGAAAAU